UGGGGAAUAUUGCACAAUGGGCGCAAGCCUGAUGCAGCCAUGCCGCGUGUAUGAAGAAGGCCUUCGGGUUGUAAAGUACUUUCAGCGAGGAGAAAGGCGUUGUGGUUAAUAACCGCAGCGAUUGACGUUACUCGCAGAAGAAGCACCGGCUAACUCCGUGCCAGCAGCCGCGGUAAUACGGAGGGUGCAAGCGUUAAUCGGAAUUACUGGGCGUAAGGCGCACGCAGGCGGUCUGUCAAGUCGGAUGUGAAAUCCCCGGGCUCAACCUGGGAACUGCAUCCGAAACUGGCAGGCUAGAGUCUUGUAGAGGGGGGUAGAAUUCCAGGUGUAGCGGUGAAAUGCGUAGAGAUCUGGAGGAAUACCGGUGGCGAAGGCGGCCCCCUGGACAAAGACUGACGCUCAGGUGCGAAAGCGUGGGGAGCAAACA
RNAcentral lists this ribosomal RNA (427 nucleotides) under uncultured bacterium. RNAcentral's name for it is "partial 16S ribosomal RNA". It matches the Rfam family "Bacterial small subunit ribosomal RNA", at positions 355 to 774 of the family's 1533-position model. The record is from RNAcentral.